UACUUCACAGAAUCUCGAUCAUG
Molecule: microRNA, 23 nt
Filed under: Cavia porcellus (domestic guinea pig)
Lineage: Eukaryota; Metazoa; Chordata; Mammalia; Rodentia; Caviidae
Description: cpo-miR-509b-5p
Gene: cpo-miR-509b-5p
Source: miRBase by way of RNAcentral